Molecule: ribosomal RNA, 301 nt
Filed under: uncultured bacterium
Lineage: Bacteria
Description: partial 16S ribosomal RNA
Rfam family: Bacterial small subunit ribosomal RNA
Source: RNAcentral
CAGCCGCCGCGGUAAUACGAAGGGUGCAAGCGUUAAUCGGAAUUACUGGGCGUAAAGCGUGCGUAGGCGGUUUGUUAAGUCUGUUGUGAAAUCCCCGGGCUCAACCUGGGAAUGGCAAUGGAUACUGGCAAGCUAGAGUGUGUCAGAGGAUGGUGGAAUUCCCAGUGUAGCGGUGAAAUGCGUAGAGAUCGGGAGGAACAUCAGUGGCGAAGGCGGCCAUCUGGGACAACACUGACGCUGAGGCACGAAAGCGUGGGGAGCAAACAGGAUUAGAUACCCCCGUAGUCCCUGUCUCUUAUAC